RNAcentral lists this long non-coding RNA (2176 nucleotides) under Aedes aegypti (yellow fever mosquito). RNAcentral's name for it is "lncRNA AAEL025244". The record is from RNAcentral. Lineage: Eukaryota; Metazoa; Arthropoda; Insecta; Diptera; Culicidae.
AAUAAACACUAAAGUCGAUUUUUAUUCUAUCAGCAUUCAUUUCUGCAAUCAUUGCACACAAGAGAAUAAACAAAAUUUACACAGAACUGUUCACGUUAACAUUCACUUUCAUGUUGAAUUAUGUUGACGAUAGAUGACUUGAUUUACACAUAGAUGAACUCGUAGCAUAAAUCGAUAGUGAGCAGCAAUAGGAUCCAUGUUAUAUUCAUCUGUAGGUAUGUGUUCGUAAAACAUACUUUUCGUGUUCAUGGGUUGAUUGGUAUGCCGUGAUGAAAAUCGUAUAUUGUAGAGCUAUUCAUUCAAAUUUUAUCUGUAAAUAGAAACAAAUUAAUUAGUAGUAACCGUAUUUAGUAGUUUAGAUAAAUACUCCCCGGGUUUAUUAAGAUAAUCAGUCAAAUUUCGAAGAUUUUCUUGCAGCUCCAUUGUAAAAACGUUCGUAUCCACUUUUCUCUUGUUGCUUUUGUCAGUUUGACACUUAGAUGCUUUAGCAGCUCUGUCAAAACUAGCGCAGGGGUGGACAUGAUGCUGUCAGUUUUGAUGCGAUGUUUUUUCUUGACUAAAAGCAGUCACAGGGAGGGCUGUGAUGACAUAAUAUUUUAUUAGUGUUGGUCAACACAAGGUUGAUGUGGUAGAAUAUUAUGAAUCUCAGUUAUUUACGUAUAUGUGCUGAGAUCAACAAAUUGUCAAAAUUAGUUUGAUGUAGUUGAUAUGCAGCCGAUUUGAAGAGUAUAGUUAUCACUUUACAAAACAAGUCGAAUCAAGAUCGAUGCAGUAAAGGAUGCAUAUAUCUGUUAUGAGUUUUACGUUCUAUUUACAAUCUCUAAGUUUAAGCUAUAGAAGGGUUGGAAAUGGUCCAAUAGGGUAGCUUUUUUGUAAAUAUUGCAACGAUAACGAGACAGCUGAAAUUCCACGCAGCGUUAGGUUUAUAGAGUUGAGAAAUUCAGUGUUAUUACAAUUGGACAGAUUUGUUAUUUCAAAAUAUUUCAUUUAUUUGGGUUAUGAAAAUUUGAUCAAUCUCACAUUGAUCAAAUUUUCAUAAAACUGCGUGAUGUGAUGUAACGUUCUCCGUCUUUUCGUCUAAAAGUCUUUUGUUUUUUUUUAUAUAUAUAUCUUUGUUUAUCAAAUUUCAUAAUAUGUUUUUUUCUGUAAAUAUGUAAAUAAACGAGGCAAACUGAUUUGAAAUAUUUAUAAAAGCACCAGUACAACAAUUUUGGUUUGCUAUAAUUUUAUAGCAACUUUUGAUAAUUUUAAGAACCAUUCACAUAUCAGCCGAAUAUUUUAUAUUUUUUGUACAGAAGCUUUUUAGGAUAAAAGCUUAGUAGUAAAGUAACUUAAAUGUAGAUGGCCCAUGAAUUCAAUAAUCUCGUCUAAUAUUGUUUAAAUGUAUGUGUAAGUGUUAACUGUCAGAAUAUAUGACUAAGCAUUCUAAAGCAUGAAGAUUACAUUUUCUCAAAUCUUUACUCACUUUUAAAUCGUCUUGGCUGAAGAGUGGAAGCAAGUUCGGUGAAUAAUUUACGUUUUUAUUUGAUUCGAAGUUUUUUGAUUAAUUUUUCACGCGGAACAAAGGCUCUGCUCUCGAGCAAUUAUUUAUCGUACAAAAGCAGCGUCCGAUUGACGCUUUUUGUACGGGCUAAAAAGCUCUACGGCCUUUUUCGGCCAUUACUACUCCACGAGGUGGACAUCUGGACCGUGCAGGCCCGCCAUUACGGUAGCCAAACGGGUAUAGAGGCCCUCCGACCUGCCGAGAAUCCGGAGAAGGUUCAUUCCGUCACGGUGGUCGCGUAGUCCCGAAGGCGAAGACCAGUUGGAGGCACGUUGGCCUUCUACGAGAGGAGACGGUAGAGUAUCGGACAUCAGCCAUUGCCCAUACCCGCAACUUUACUUCGGCCUAUCACGCACGUGUGCCCCUCCCGGCGACGCUUCUGCCGAGGAGUCGGGGUGUUUCCUGAAACGCAUGGUUCGGACACCCGCUGCAGCCGGUACCCAGUGCUGAACAUCACGCGACGUCGCUACACCCCUGCCGGUUCGCUCAGCUGCCAGCAUUAACAUAAAUCCUGAUCAGGUAUGUCGUUAACCAUGGCCAUGUCACUCACACUACAACACUCACACUUACACCUUACACAUAAAUGAAUUACCCGAAAAAAUGAAUACAAUACAUAAAUGAAUUCAAUCUAAA